This is a non-coding RNA of Pelobates cultripes (western spadefoot toad), 1142 nucleotides long. The record is from the annotation of a GenBank genome assembly. NCBI's taxonomy places the organism in Eukaryota, Metazoa, Chordata, Amphibia, Anura, Pelobatidae.
GAACACUGUGUUAGAGGAUACCAGAUGAACAGAAAGCUUACAUAUUAAAGAACCUUGCAAUUCGGACAGCUUAAGGACUGGUGAACCUUGUGUUUUGUUUUUAAUUCUUUUUUUUUUGGAAUGCAUGGAAAUAUAACAAGUGGGCUCGUCAUGCCCCAACAGAAUUGACAAGUAUAUGACAAAACAUUUGUUAACAGUUGGUCAGCAUGUGAGAAAACAGCACAAUUUUUAUAGAGCAACAUAUAUCGUUUAAGUGUUCCUGUCUAGACGAUCAGUACAUAUGUUGGCAGGGACAUUUCUAAACAUGCAGGAUGCAAGAUUGCGAUCUAAUAGAGAGUGAGUGCUUGCUACAGAGAAGCUAGGCUAGUCAGCAUGAGAUGCCUCUCUAUGUGUAGGACAGGACAGUGAUAUAUAAUAGAAUACAAGUAAAUUACACAGGCUUAAAUUGUGUAGCUAGUGUCUGCUAAGCGAAUAUCAAUGGGGCUCCCACACCCAUUAUUGCUAACAGUAAAACAUAUGAGUGCAAGUAGGUAAGUUAGUUAACGUCAGGGCUCAUGCUAAAAUGAAAAAACGCUUAAAAUAGUUAGAAAGUACAUUAAUAAAGCUCAGGGGAUCUUGGGUCUCAUCCUCGAGAACUCUGGCAUUAUUUAUUUGGGUCGUCCUCCGAUAUAGCAGGUGGUCGGUGUCUGGUAAGCAAGCUGUCCCCCACACAGGGGUUCUUUACCCUACUCCCCGUCUGGACACUGCUCUGAGGUGGCUAUUAAGUCCUCCGGAGAUAGACCUGUUGUGGCUCCUGUGUGAGGUACCCCACAACUCACCAGUGGCAGUUCGAGGACCUGUAGGGUGUUGCUUGUAUUCCCAUAGAGUUGUGGUCUCCCAUGGUGGUAAGUUGCGUCAUUCAGGGCGGUUGCUGGACAGUGCUGGGCAGAUUCUUCGGCGACGUGUUUGUGUACUUGGCCUCUGUUUCUUCAUUAGUGGCGAUGCUGCACCAGAGCGUCGCCCAGGAGUCGCGGGCUGCCCUUUUGUGAGCGGCAAGGUUGGUUCUGGCUGGGCUCCAGCAGACUUGUGCCGGCGUGCGGCUAAUGUGGACCAGAAGUUUGCAAAUAAGGCGUCAAGCUUCUCCUGCAGAGUCAGUCACUUAG